CAGUCCUUGGUUAAGAGGCCCCGAAGGAAAACCCAGAUGUAAAAGGCACUGGUGUCAGACUCAGUGGGAGAGCUGUGAGAAAUUUUCACCCCCCGUAACAGAGAUAGUCUAGCAGGGUCAGCUUUAAGAAGAACAUCAAGUAUUAGGUGCAAAAAGACUGUGUCACGUGGGACAUUUGACUGAAAGCCGGAAAACUUCUAUUUAAUUUAUUUUCAGCUUUGGGUACGAGCACUAAUUAGCACAGGUUUGUGUAAAUUCUCUAGAAGCCUCACCUCCAAAGUUUGUUCAGGUGCUGGUCCACCUCCUUAUGGGACAAGAAGACUCAAGCUAUUACUUAGCCUGCUGUUUGAGUUGGUGCCAGUUGGAUGAGAAUACCCUGGCUACAUUUCAUGUCAGAAACCUGGUACAAAGUACAGUGCAUUGUGCAUACAGCCAAGGCAGUUAUGAGAAUCCUGAGUACUGGAAGAUUGCUCAAGAGGGAGACUCUUAAACCUAUGGAUUUAUAUUAAAAUGUUGUACUAUUCCUACAGAAUUCAAAAUGGGAGAAUUUACCUAUUCUCAUAUGCUAUAAACACAUUUAACAGUAAAAAUUCAAUAUCUUUAAAAGCACAAAUAAAA
Sarcophilus harrisii (Tasmanian devil) is the source of this 618-nucleotide long non-coding RNA. RefSeq lists it as uncharacterized. The transcript is spliced from 3 exons. The record is from RefSeq and is a predicted model, not a curated record. Lineage: Eukaryota; Metazoa; Chordata; Mammalia; Dasyuromorphia; Dasyuridae.